UGGCUCAGUGGUUAAGAGCACUGGUUUCUCUUCUAGAGAACCUGGGUUCAAUUCCCAG
This 58-nucleotide transfer RNA is filed under the name Neotoma lepida (desert woodrat). It matches the Rfam family "tRNA", at positions 8 to 63 of the family's 71-position model. From Rfam's summary of the family: Transfer RNA (tRNA) molecules are approximately 80 nucleotides in length. Lineage: Eukaryota; Metazoa; Chordata; Mammalia; Rodentia; Cricetidae. The record is from Rfam by way of RNAcentral.